This 2024-nucleotide long non-coding RNA is filed under the name Equus caballus (horse). RNAcentral's name for it is "lncRNA (ENSECAG00000056864.1)". Lineage: Eukaryota; Metazoa; Chordata; Mammalia; Perissodactyla; Equidae. The record is from RNAcentral.
UCUUCUAAUCAUUCAUUCUUUCAAUUCAUUCAUUCAUUUAUUCAACAAAUAUUUGUUGAGGGCCCACAACGUGACAAGCACUGUUUUAGGUACAGGGGAAACAUCUUUGAAUAAAACAGACCCAAAUUCCUGCCCACAUGGAGAAAGACUAUAAAUGAUAAGUUGAUAAAGUCAAUGUUUGAGGAGAUAAGUGCUAUGAAAAAUGGGGUGGGGGGAGCAGCCUGCUGGCACAGCAGUUAAGUUCUCACAUUCUGCUUCUGCAGCCUGGGGUUCACCAGUUCAGACUGUGGGUGCAGACCUACACACCGCUUGUCAAGCCAUGCUGUGGCAGGCGUCCCACUUAUAAAGUCGAGGAAGAUGGGCACAGAUGUUAGCUCAGGACUGAUCUUCCUCAAAAAAAAAAAAGGGAUGGGGGGAUGAGCAGGCAAGGGAUAUGGGGUGUGCUGGAGGAGUUGCAAACUGGGUAAUCAGGAAAGCAAAAUUCAGAAAAUGCCAUUCUAACAAAGUUUUGAAGAGGCGAGGGCUUAAGUCAUGUAGGCACCUGGGGGGAGAGCAUUCUAAACAGAGGGAACAGCCAGUGCAAAGGCCCUGAGGCAGGGAGCAUUCUUGCAGGUUCAAAGAACAGCAAGAAGUCCAGUGUGGUGGGAGUGCAUGAGCAAGAAGAAGUAGGAGAGGAGGGCAGAGGAGUAAAGAGGUUCGAAGAGCACGAGUUUAAGCAGAAACGGAAUUUAUUAUAGGAUAUUGGGGGGCUUCCAGCAUCUCUUGAGCAGCCUGAGGUUCAGGCUGAGAGGCUGUGCAGCAGGGACACAGCCUGAAUGUGCCACCACAGGGCAGGUCCAGGGAGUGAGAUGGUGGCCAGUGCUGAGCAGAGCCACCACGCAAAUGGGCUGGGCGCUCCCCUGGAUCCGCUGCUGCUGGUCCUGGCAUCUCCCGGCCUCCACCAGGCGCCACUGGCUCUCAAUCCGAGUCUGCUGCUGUGCCUCUGUCCGGCGGGCCGACACCCUGGUUCUGGGAAACAGUUUCUGGCUCCUCUGGGGAGUCAGGGACCCAGAAGGAGGGAAUUCUCCAAAGCUAAGAAGGGCCUUCAAAGACACUUGUCUCACUCCCGCGCUCUCCGAGACCCGGCCGGAAUCAGCGAGAAUCACGGCCCUCUCGCUUCCCAGUCGGCCAGCUGCACGGAGGCCAGUGGGCACAGCUCAGGCUGCUGGAUGAGAGCUGAACUUCUGUACUCGUAACAGUCAGACCCCUUGAGUGGAGGAUCCCAGUGCCUGGACUUGCCUGGAAACUGGAUCCUGAACUAGAUGGCCCAACUGAUGAGGUACCCUCUCCACUUUCCGUGUUCCUGCAGCGUUGCCAGAUUUCUGCCUAACAGCGGUGCCCUUUCUUCCAGUUUCCAAGGCAUUUUCCUUUAAAUCUUCACCAACAUCCCCCUGCUAAUUUGAUGCCCUUUGACCUCAGUCACUCUCUUCCAAGUCCUCCUGCUCUGCCCACUGCCCAGUUCCAAAGCCUCGCCCACAUUUGCAGGCUUGUGUUCCAGAGGCAACCCACGUCUGGUACCAGACUUGAUCUUAGUUAUCUGCUGCUGCGUAAUGAAUUAUCCCAAAUGUAGUGGCUUAAAACGGCAGGAAACAUUGAUACUUUCAGUUUCCAUGAGUCAGGAAUUCAGAUCAGCUGAGCCGGGAGGUCUGGCUCCAGCUCUCUCGUGAGGUUGAGCCAAGACAUCAGCAGGGGUGGCGGUCACCUGAGGGCUGGACAGGGCUGGAGGCCCCAUUCCCCGGCGGCUCACUGGGACGGUCAGCACGUCGGUGCUGGCUGUGGCAAAGGCCUUGCUUGCCCUUGCCUCGGGCCUCUGCACAGGGCUGCUCCAGCAACCUCGCACCAGGCACCUUUCCCUCAGAACAAGUGACCCAAGAGAAAGGGGGAAGUCACAGUGCCCUGUGACCUAGCCUGGGACGUCACACACCCUCCCUUCUGCAGUUUUCUGCGGUCACACUGACCGGCUCUGACUCAGUGUGAGAGUUGAG